RNAcentral lists this ribosomal RNA (253 nucleotides) under uncultured bacterium. RNAcentral's name for it is "partial 16S ribosomal RNA". It matches the Rfam family "Bacterial small subunit ribosomal RNA", at positions 524 to 776 of the family's 1533-position model. The record is from RNAcentral.
UACGUAGGGGGCAAGCGUUGUCCGGAUUUAUUGGGCGUAAAGAGCGUGUAGGCGGCCAUACAGGUCCGUUGUGAAAACUGGAGGCUUAACCUCCAGACGUCGAUGGAAACCGUAUGGCUAGAGUCCGGAAGAGGAGAGUGGAAUUCCUGGUGUAGCGGUGAAAUGCGCAGAUAUCAGGAAGAACACCCGUGGCGAAGGCGGUUCUCUGGGCAUUACCUGACGCUGAGGAGCGAAAGUGUGGGGAGCGAACAGG